Molecule: long non-coding RNA, 202 nt
Organism: Phyllostomus hastatus (greater spear-nosed bat)
Lineage: Eukaryota; Metazoa; Chordata; Mammalia; Chiroptera; Phyllostomidae
Exons: 3
Source: RefSeq, a predicted model, not a curated record
GAGGCCCUAAGGUGGUCUGUGAGGUUCCAGGACCCCAGUUUUACUCUAUAUCCUCUGCUCUGAUAUGAAAAGAAGAUGAUCUGUAUUGUGGGCUUCAACCUUUUGCUUCUCUACAAGGGCAUGCUGUGUGAAAAAGUGACCCAGAGUUCCCCAGAGAAGAUCGUGGAAAGUGGCAGUGAGGCUCCCAAAGGCAUGGCCUCGG